GUGGGGAAUAUUGGGCAAUGGGGGAAACCCUGACCCAGCGACGCCGCGUGAGGGAAGACGGCCUUCGGGUUGUAAACCUCUUUUGUACGGGAAGAAGGAAGUGACGGUACUGUACGAAUAAGUCCCGGCUAACUACGUGCCAGCAGCCGCGGUAAUACGUAGGGGACGAGCGUUGUCCGGAAUUACUGGGCGUAAAGGGCGCGCAGGCUGUGCUGCAAGUCAGCUGCGAAAUGUCUGGGCUUAACCCGGGCAUGCGGUUGAGACUGCAGUGCUGGAGUGCUGUAGAGGCAAGUGUGAUUCCCAGUGUAGCGGUGAAAUGCGUAGAUAUUAGGAAGAACACCGGUGGCGAAGGCGACUUGCUGGGCAGCAACUGACGCUGAGGCGCGAAAGCCAGGGGAGCAAACGGGAUUAGAUACCCUGGUAGUCC
RNAcentral lists this ribosomal RNA (427 nucleotides) under uncultured bacterium. RNAcentral's name for it is "partial 16S ribosomal RNA". It matches the Rfam family "Bacterial small subunit ribosomal RNA", at positions 354 to 796 of the family's 1533-position model. The record is from RNAcentral.